RNAcentral lists this ribosomal RNA (1375 nucleotides) under Histophilus somni. RNAcentral describes it as "partial 23S ribosomal RNA". It matches the Rfam family "Bacterial large subunit ribosomal RNA", at positions 1587 to 2925 of the family's 2925-position model. The record is from RNAcentral. Lineage: Bacteria; Pseudomonadati; Pseudomonadota; Gammaproteobacteria; Pasteurellales; Pasteurellaceae.
GAAGUAACUGAUACCACGCUUCCAGGAAAAGCCACUAAGCGAAAGGUUUAUUGGAACCGUACUGAAAACCGACACAGGUGGUCAGGUAGAGAAUACUCAGGCGCUUGAGAGAACUCGGGUGAAGGAACUAGGCAAAAUGGCACCGUAACUUCGGGAGAAGGUGCGCUUACGGUAAUUGUAGCUCUUUACGGGUGAAGGUGAAGUAAGUCGAAGAUACCAGCUGGCUGCAACUGUUUAUUAAAAACACAGCACUCUGCGAACACGAAAGUGGAAGUAUAGGGUGUGAUGCCUGCCCGGUGCUGGAAGGUUAAUUGAUGUUGUAAUCGAAAGAGAAGCAGCUGAUCGAAGCCCCAGUAAACGGCGGCCGUAACUAUAACGGUCCUAAGGUAGCGAAAUUCCUUGUCGGGUAAGUUCCGACCUGCACGAAUGGCAUAAUGAUGGCCAGGCUGUCUCCACCCGAGGCUCAGUGAAAUUGAAAUCGCCGUGAAGAUGCGGUGUACCCGCGGCUAGACGGAAAGACCCCGUGAACCUUUACUAUAGCUUGACACUGAACAUUGAAUAUUGAUGUGUAGGAUAGGUGGGAGACGAAGAAGUGUGAACGCCAGUUUGCAUGGAGUCGGUGUUGAAAUACCACCCUUUAAUGUUUGAUGUUCUAACGAAGUACCUGAGACGGGUACUCGGACAGUGUCUGGUGGGUAGUUUGACUGGGGCGGUCUCCUCCCAAAGAGUAACGGAGGAGCACGAAGGUUUGCUAAUGACGGUCGGACAUCGUCAGGUUAGUGCAAUGGUAUAAGCGAGCUUAACUGCGAGACGGACAAGUCGAGCAGGUGCGAAAGCAGGUCAUAGUGAUCCGGUGGUUCUGAAUGGAAGGGCCAUCGCUCAACGGAUAAAAGGUACUCCGGGGAUAACAGGCUGAUACCGCCCAAGAGUUCAUAUCGACGGCGGUGUUUGGCACCUCGAUGUCGGCUCAUCACAUCCUGGGGCUGAAGUAGGUCCCAAGGGUAUGGCUGUUCGCCAUUUAAAGUGGUACGCGAGCUGGGUUUAGAACGUCGUGAGACAGUUCGGUCCCUAUCUGCCGUGGGCGUUGGAGAAUUGAGGGGGGCUGCUCCUAGUACGAGAGGACCGGAGUGGACGCAUCACUGGUGUACCAGUUGUUUCGCCAGAAGCAUUGCUGGGUAGCUAAAUGCGGGAGAGAUAAGUGCUGAAAGCAUCUAAGCACGAAACUUGCCUUAAGAUGAGUUCUCCCUAACGAAGAGUUAGUAAGGGAUGUUUGAGACUAAGACGUAGAUAGGUGGGGUGUGUAAGUGUAGUGAUAUAUUGAGCUAACCCAUACUAAUUUCCCGAGGGGCUUAACCAUACAAUCUUGAGUGUUUUG